GGUGGCACAAGCAACGUUACUUUCCGAGCAUCGCGGAAGCCGAGAGUAAGCUGCGAUCGAGUCGACAAGGUUCCGGAAGCGACACAUCCGGAAGCCCUUGCGGCGAAUGCGCCGGGCCUAGUUAUAGAGUGCCAGUAAAGCCUUGUAGAGAUGUAUUUUCGCGAGGUGUCGAAUCGAGUACGGAAUCUAACAACGAAGGCUCGCCCUCACUCGCGAGACGACGAAGCCGACAGCCGAGCCGGUCUACUCGCAGGUAGCCAAGUUCGGUAGAGGAUAUGACGCUAUUGCCGCCAAGCGGGUUCAGUGACAGUCGCGAAUUGAGCGACGUGGAGUGCGACCGUGAUCGUGAUCGCGAACGCGAUCGCGAAUGGCAAGGUUUAUCAGCCGGAACUCGUCACGGCGGCAGUUUGGGCAGACUUCCGAUCGAGGCCGUCGAAUCUAUGCUCGCUAGAUAUCAGCAAAGAAAGGAGCAAGAAAGACAAGAAUUCACUAUACAUGUAUGAUCGAGAUUCGCUGGUUCGACUUGGUAUCUUCGCCGGACGAUUUAACAUUAUUUAUAAAGAGACGACAAAUCUUAUUCUCAAAACCAUCCGUUGCCGUUGAGGGAAAUUUUAAUGUGAAGGACAAUUCAAUUUUGAAUGGAGAUGAAUGAGUGAUGGAAGAAGAGACUCUCAGGUCCAUUUGUGUCGAAGAGGCGUCUCGAUAAUUGAUCUGCGUUGCGCCAAAUACUGCCGUUAUUAUACACAAAAUAUGGCCUUCGUAUAUAACCCUGUAUGUGCCACGUAUGAUAUUGUGUAACGUCGAAUUUCGAGAGAAAAAAAACACCAAAUCCUAUCGGCGAUAUACACAAUUAAGCAAUCAAGAAGUAACGGAAGCAUUGAUGAUUAACUGUACGUUUUUUGAUAGCAUUUAUUCUUUCUAUCACCGAAUUACAAUUACACUGUCUUACCGUAUGAAACGUAAUUAUGAUAAAAAAAAAAGUCUGAUUGACCGAUCCAUUGCUUUCGCGACGACCAAUUACAGAUAUACAGGGUGAACGCCAACUUUCAUACGAGUACCUCCGCUUCACUAGUGCGAUCUAUCUAUUAACGAGCUAUUCUAUGUAUGAUUAUAGGAAUGACAGAUUAUAUUCGCGUAAUGAGUAUUGUGUUUUAAAAGAUUUUAAUAAAAACACUGCAACGGUCGCAGCGUUACACGUUAUCCCCAUAAGAAAUAGGUCAAUUAAUUCGAAGCUAAUAAUAGGCAUUUAUUCGAAACGAAAUUUAAUAAUUUUGGGGCAAUCAAAAAUUGAUUCUCAAAUUCCUUUUGGUUUGAAAUACACGAAAGUGCUGCGAUUCGAUCUCACUCCAUGCAAUUCAAUUAUGAAACCGGCUUUCCACUUUUCGAAUAGUGCCAACUUUAUUAGAAAUAUAUAGUAUUAAGAACAUCGUGAAAAAAAAACGAAAACUUGAGAAGAUAGAGAGGGGUUACGUGUACUCCUUUCUCUGUCCUAACUGAACGUAAUUGUGCGCUAUAACACAUAGUAUUUACGAAUCGAUUAUCCGAAUAAGAAGCGGCUAGCGCCUUAACUAUGUAAAUAAUUGCUCUUUGAGAAACGACAUUUAUCGAUGUGAUCGUAAAAUACGCUAACGAUUAUAAAAUACCAUGUGCACCACGUGCAGAGGGUCGUAGUGUGUCCGCAGACAAAAUCGAGAAUCGUGUAGCAUAUAGAGCGAUUGAGAAAAUUAGCUUCUCGUCGGAAAUUCGGUUUCUUUUCAAAGAUCUCUCCCGUAACGUGAGACUGAUUGUUAAUUGAGUACGCUUACAAUGAUUUCUGCCAAGAAGAGUAAAGGCACAGUGAAGCACAGAGCUUUGCAUAAUACAUACAGCAUAAAAGAAUCAACCAAUCAGAAUCUUUCAUUUCAUUAAAAAAAAACUCUGAUUAAUCGAUUCUCUUAUGCAUUAUGCAAAGGUCUGUACUUCGUUCUUAAGAGUCUAUCCAGGCAAAUUUACAUAGCAUAAAUGUAUACAUAAAAAACAUCCAAUCGCAUUUUACAUGCGUCUUUACAAUAGAAAUAUGAUUGGAUAUUUUUCCUUUAUGUAUAUGUUUAUGCAGCUAGACAAAUUUAUUUGUUCUGGAUAGAUCCUAAAGGCAGAAUUUUAAAGCACAGAUUUUUAUAUAACGCAUAACACACAAGGCAUAAGAAAAUCAAUCAAUCUUUUGUUUAGAAUCUUUUAUUUCGUGAAAAGGAACAAAAUGAAGGAUUUUGAUUGGUUCAUUUUUUUAUACUUUAUACAUUAUACAUUAUCUAUGCGUUAUACAAGAUUCUAUGCUCCCACCCUAAACAAUUAAUCGUUCUGAUCGAGCGACACUUCCGAUCACGCCGGAAAAAAAAGCGAAGAAACCAUGCGACGCGCGAACGUUCUUUUUCCCUUUAGUUUAAUAAAAGAGAGACAAAGACUUGCUUAGAAUUAUUCUUGCAGUUAUUUUUAAGACAGUUGAGACUAAUUGUAAGUCUCGUAAAAAUCUGAAGAAAAUUCAUGACAUACGUCUCUUGUUACUUUAUAAACGAGUUAUCGCGUAGAUGUAACAUGUAUAUAAAUGAGCUGACCAGAAGAGAUGAUUUCUUGAGAUUUGCGCGUAAGCGAAAUUCGCGCUCAUCUCGGAAGAUAAAGUUUAUGCGGAAUAUAUCGGAGUAUAUCGAUCGAUAUCAUAACAUCAUCCUAUAAAAGAUGGAUGAAUUGAGGAGAUUCAUUCUAUAUCGGGACCUUCAGUUUCCGAAGUUGGUACAUACACCCACAAAAAAA
Molecule: long non-coding RNA, 2787 nt
Organism: Trachymyrmex cornetzi
Lineage: Eukaryota; Metazoa; Arthropoda; Insecta; Hymenoptera; Formicidae
Exons: 4
Source: RefSeq, a predicted model, not a curated record